Cryptomeria japonica (Japanese cedar) is the source of this 674-nucleotide long non-coding RNA. RefSeq lists it as uncharacterized. The transcript has 2 exons. The record is from RefSeq and is a predicted model, not a curated record. NCBI's taxonomy places the organism in Eukaryota, Viridiplantae, Streptophyta, Pinopsida, Cupressales, Cupressaceae.
UGUAAUCGAGGGCUAUAGAUGCAUUUUCUCAGUAACCGAUGGCCAUACAUAUAUAUGUGAUGGCUACAGGUGCAUUUUAAAUGGAGAGUAGUCGUUGCCAUUUAAGCGGGCAACGUCUAUUCUAAAGUAGAGAGAGCAUUAGCUAACCAGACGAUCAAGAUCGCAUGAUAAAUUUAUGCUUCUGUAACUGAGCUUCUAUGGACCCUACAUAAACGUAAUGCUUAAACACUUAGUGCAAAAUUUAUUGCAUAACGAGGUGCGAACUACGUCUUUAAUCAUGGCGAAAAAAUUCUCGGUCGCUUUCCUGGUUUUCUGGGGCCUAGCUUUGUCUUCUGACUGCGAUCAAACCAGGUAAACAAAGGUGGCUGCAAUCUGUGGAGUGUUCAAGUGAUAUGAAUGUAAUGAUGGAUGUAGCCAAAUCUGUGGACAUUGUCUUGCUUCUUAUGGAAGGAAGUUAUGGGUUUGAAAUGCUGAGUACUACAACUUGUGCAUGGAUAUUUGUAAAAUGGUUAAAUGUAUAAUUUCAUUGUUAGGUUCUCUUAGCAUUGAUAAUCAACAGCUCUUUCCAGCAAUACAAGUUUCAAAGUGUAUUUUUAAGGAGCAUAUUGGUAUGGUACAUAAUAUGUAAUUUGAACUCAAUUAUAUCAGAUACUUUUGUCUUCAUGUAUUUUUAA